GAUGAACGCUGGCGGCGUGCCUAAUACAUGCAAGUCGAGCGAACAGAUGAGGAGCUUGCUCCUCUGACGUUAGCGGCGGACGGGUGAGUAACACGUGGAUAACCUACCUAUAAGACUGGGAUAACUUCGGGAAACCGGCGCUAAUACCGGAUAAUCUAUUGAACCGCAUGGUUCAAUAGUGAAAGACGGCUUUUCUGUCACUUCUAGAUGGAUCCCGGCGGCAUUAGAUAGUUGGUAGGGUAACGGCUUACCAAGGCAACGAUGCGUAGCCGACCUGAGGGGGUGAUAGGCCACACUGGAGGGGAGACGGGGUCAAGACUCCUACGGGAGGCAGCAGAAGGGAAUCUUCCGCAAUGGUCGGAAGCCUUACGGAGCAACGCCGAGUGAGUGAUGACGGUGUUCGGAUCGUAAAGCUCUGUUAUGAGGGAAGAACAAAUGUGUAAGUAACUGUGCACGGCUUGACGGUAACGAAUCAGAAAGCCACGGCUAACUACGUG
Molecule: ribosomal RNA, 497 nt
Filed under: uncultured bacterium
Lineage: Bacteria
Description: partial 16S ribosomal RNA
Rfam family: Bacterial small subunit ribosomal RNA
Source: RNAcentral